GACAGAGGUGCCAAGCGUUAGGCGGAAUCACUGGGCUUAAAGCGUGUGUAGGCGGACUUGUAAGUACCUUGUGAAAUCCCACGGCUCACCCGUGGAACUGCUGGGUAUACUGCGAGUCUUGAGCCACUUAGGGGCUGUCGGAACAGGCGGUGGAGCGGUGAAAUGCGUAGAUAUCGCCUGGAACGCCAAAGGUGAAAACAGACAGCUGGGAGUGUGCUGACGCUGGAGACACGAAAGCCAGGGGAGCGAACGGG
RNAcentral lists this ribosomal RNA (254 nucleotides) under uncultured bacterium. RNAcentral's name for it is "partial 16S ribosomal RNA". It matches the Rfam family "Bacterial small subunit ribosomal RNA", at positions 524 to 776 of the family's 1533-position model. The record is from RNAcentral.